AUUGAACGCUGGCGGAAUGCUUUACACAUGCAAGUCGAACGGUAGAGGGGGCAACCCCUCGAGAGUGGCGAACGGGUGAGUAAUAUAUCGGAACGUGCCCAGUCGUGGGGGAUAACGUAGCGAAAGUUACGCUAAUACCGCAUACGGUCUAAGGAUGAAAGCGGGGGAUCGCAAGACCUCGCGCGAUUGGAGCGGCCGAUAUCAGAUUAGGUAGUUGGUGGGGUAAAGGCUCACCAAGCCAACGAUCUGUAGCUGGUCUGAGAGGACGACCAGCCACACUGGAACUAAGACACGGUCCAGACUCCUACGGGAGGCAGCGGUGGGGAAUUUGGGACAAGGGAGGCAAGUUUGAUCCGGCCAUUCCGCGUGAAGGAUGAAGGCCCUCGGGUUGUAAACUGCUUUUGUACGGAACGAAAAGGUCUCUCUUAAUACGGGGGGCUCAUGACGGUACCGUAAGAAUAAGCACCGGCUACUACGUGCCAGCCGCCGCCGUAA
This 495-nucleotide ribosomal RNA is filed under the name uncultured bacterium. Its description in RNAcentral is "partial 16S ribosomal RNA". It matches the Rfam family "Bacterial small subunit ribosomal RNA", at positions 30 to 523 of the family's 1533-position model. The record is from RNAcentral.